CGGGAUAAAAAAUUCAGUGGAGAUUUUUUUCAUCAUUUCUGUCUGAAACUGUAGAUUUAUUGUAUUUUUUUAAAGCCGUUUGAAGACAUGAGGUGAAGGAAACACAGAGGAGCCGAUUAACGGUUAAAACUGACGCAGUUUGACGGUUUCAGGUUCGUCCUCAGCAUCAUGGUGGACAUCGGUGUGAGUGGAGCUGCUUGGUUCUGUCGGACCGAGGGGCGCUGCCUAGCAGACGUCCUGCUUCCUGUUCACCUCAGCAACAAAAACGUAGAUGAAGAAGAGGAUCUCAGCCAGUCAGACAGAGAAAAGGUGGAUCCGGUUCUGUUGGAGCAGGUGGAGGAAGGCUCGCCCUGCGUCCUCGCUCUGAGCUGCAGCUCCUCCGCCGCCAUCAGCCGCCUGYUGGUCAUCAGCGAGGCUCGCACCGUAGAGCUGUACGACCAGCUGGGGGAGUACUGCGGGACUGUACGGGGGGCGGAGGAUAAGAGCGUCCAUUCAGACAGUGGAGACAGGGGUCCUUUCUACAGGACGCAGCUGGUCCUUGAUCGUCCCUCCUCAGCCUGUGAUCUGAAGUUGCUCUCUCUGGCAGGGAGGACCAGUGUUCUGGUUUGUCGCAUCAUCGUGGGCCUUCAGGAGCUGCAGCCCGGUCCGGUUCGUGGUCCCGGUAUAGACCUGCAGCAGGUUCAGAGUCUGGUUGAGGAGAUGGGAACGAGCUUGUCUCCUGGAGCCCAACAUCUCAUGGACAUGGUGCAGUUCCAGCAGAGGAACCAGACCAGUUCUCUGGGGGGGUUCCUGCCUCUCCUGAUGGGGGGCGGAGCUCUCUCUGCUCUGGUUGGAGGAGUCGGAGCGUCUGCAGCCGCCUUCAGGAACCUGCCUCAGCCUGCAGACGUCACGCCUCCAGAGUCCGUCAGGCCUGCAGACGUGACCGCAGCUCAGGGUGGAGGGAUGUCAGAGGGCUCCUCGUCUCCGGACCUCUCACUGUCCGACCUCAGCUCUAAUAACACCUCCAGCAGUGAGAACGUUGGUCCGACGAGCCACGCCCAGCUGGAGGAGAUGAUGUCGCACUUCCUGAAGGGGCGGGGCCACGAACAGGCGCUGAGCCCCGACCUCCUGCCCGUGCUCCAAAGCGUUUGCGGUCAGGUGACGCAGCUGCGGCUGGCGGACGCUGAGGAGGCGGCGGAGAGGAAGAAGAUGAGGAACGGAAUGUGGUGAGUGGAGCUGAACCCUCCUGCUGCCCUCGGGUCAAGCUGAGGUCCCRGUUUGACCCGAGGGCAGCAGCGGGGGUUUCUUCUGUCAGAGCAAAACAAUUUAUUUUGUUUCUGAGGCUUUAUGCAUCAAACGCAGCCCAAACCAUCAACCCUCCACCGUCGUGCCGACUGAUUGCUGUGCAUUCUGGGUAAACACCGACGUGUCCGUCUAUAACUGCUGACUCAGCAGCUGAUGUUUGUAGAGCAAAAGCUUGUUUGUUUACCAGAUAUUUACAGGAGAUUUUAAAAGACAACAGUUUGUUUAUCGUCAACAAGUGAAUGAUAAAACGUUCAGACUUCCAGCCGGCGUCAGUUUGACUCCAGAGCUGAAAGCAGCCGAAUAAAGAGGCUCUUUGUCAGAACCGAGCCGCACCGUGGGCUGAUGGGAUCAGCUGAUCCGGACUCCGUGUCCAGAAGACAAACGCAGCUCAACGGGACGAGUUCCUCACAGCUCAUCAAAUAAUAAACAGCUAAAAACUCUAAAGGGACUUGGACUCAGCCAUGGAGCAGCGCCUGGAGGACAUGGAGAGGAGGCUGAAGGAGCACGUGGACCGGCGGCUAGACGCUCUGGAGCAG
Austrofundulus limnaeus is the source of this 1820-nucleotide RNA transcript. It is a transcript of the gene named chromosome unknown C10orf88 homolog, with no coding region annotated. The record is from RefSeq and is a predicted model, not a curated record. Lineage: Eukaryota; Metazoa; Chordata; Actinopteri; Cyprinodontiformes; Rivulidae. The transcript is spliced from 9 exons.